Long non-coding RNA from Alnus glutinosa, 1525 nucleotides. RefSeq lists it as uncharacterized. The record is from RefSeq and is a predicted model, not a curated record. Lineage: Eukaryota; Viridiplantae; Streptophyta; Magnoliopsida; Fagales; Betulaceae. The transcript is spliced from 8 exons.
CUCCUGCGCGCCCUUUGUUUUGUCUUUCUUGUUCUUUCUUCUCUUUUUGUCCCAACGUUGGGACGAGAGAGAAAGAAAGAGAGACCGAAAGAUCGAGAUGGAGAGAAUCAGAGAGAACUUGAGGGAGGCGUGCGGUGGGCUAUCCACCGUUUGGGGCGGACGACGGCGCCCGGGCCGGUGGGACACGGCCCAACGCCGGUGAGGCCAAAAAGCUUGGAGUUCCGGCAUUUUCUCGGUACCCAAACAAUAUAAAAUCCAUUUUUUUUUGGGAUCUGUAUGUCCAUGUAGGCUGGCCUUUAUAUCGGAACCGGAAAUAUAGUCAUGCUUUUGAGGCAUUCAAAAUAAUUGUGACGGAUCCUGAUUCUGUUCUGAAUUCUCUUACCCGCGAAGUCCAAAGAAAUUGGCCCUGAUGGAAGAGAGGUGACAAAGGUGGUUCCUGCUAUGUCGGAGGAUGUGAAAGAAGCUUUGGUAAAAAAUAUUAGGAGAAGGUGACCCCCACAACCAUUGAAGAUUCGGGCCGACAUUGAAAUGAAAUGCUUCCAGUUUGGUGGUGUUCUUCACAUGAAGGAUUCCAUGCGGAAAGUUGAAGCUACUGGCACUGAUGAAUGCCCCUGCAGGAUUCCAUGUGCACUUUAUGUUCUUACCACUCAAGACUCUUGACAAGUACUGCCCUCAUCUCGCCGCCGGUGUCGCCUUACCUCUCCACGACACGUCGACGCCACCAACUCCAGCCCACUUCACCAGCUCGAUCUCCUCCCUCGAACCCAUCGAGAAUGGGGUACUACUGAGGAUUUUGAUUUAGGUUUUUCUUCUUCUGUAAGGUGAAACCCCUGAUUUCGAUUUAGUGUUUUUGUUUUAGGAUUUUUAGAUUAAAAUAUGCUAUAAACCUAUGUGCUCUGUUUUUGCUGGGUUGCGGAAUUGCUGGAAAGUGGAAAUUUUGGGUAAGUAAGAGGAAAUUUUGGAAAGCGGAAAUUUUGGUUCACAAGCAUACAUGAAUUAUCAAAGUACAGAUAUCAAGAACUUGAGCCAAUAGGCUAAUGAGCAAAUCAAAGGAAGAGAUACUCUGCUGUUGGGCCAAUAGGCUAACGAGCAAAUCAAAGGAAGAGAUCUUACAGCUUGGGUUCUAAACUCCAUUGCUGAACAGCUUUUUCUCCAAAGCUCCCUCCACAGGAACCAGUUUGCCUGCGACUUUGAACAUCUUUCUGAGUUCCAAAGCUCAAAAAAUAAAAAUGGGUAUAUGUCCUUGACCCGAUCCCUCUCUUGUGCAUCACAAUCUAAGGCGAAAAUCGAAAUAGGAGCACUUUGGAUCCUUAUUGUGCUCUUUUGUUUUAGAGAGGCACAUAAUUUUACUUAUCUAGAAAAGGAAGGAACAUAGGUUACUAUAUUGCUUUUGACACACAAUUUGACUAAUAUUGAAGUAAAAAAAAUGUGUCCAAAAGAGACAAUACGAUAUUAUCACAAACAGUAUUAGGAUUAUAUUCCUUGAUAUAUAUUGGGUUAUUUCUGAUUGUUCUUGCAUAUUUGG